AAUUUUUGACAAUGGGGGAAACCCUGAUCCAGCCAUCCCGCGUGUAUGAUGAAGGCCUUCGGGUUGUAAAGUACUUUUGGCAGAGAAGAAAAGGUAUCUCCUAAUACGAGAUACUGCUGACGGUAUCUUCAGAAUAAGCACCGGCUAACGACGUGACAGCAGCCGCGGUAAUACGUAGGGUGAAAGCGUUAAUCGGAAUUACUGGGCGGAAAGCAUUUGUAGGCGGUUCGGAAAGAAAGAUGUGAAAUCCAAGGGCUCGACCUUGGAACUGCAUUUUUAACAGCCGAGCUAGAGUAUGUCAGAGGGGGGUAGAAUUCCACGUGUAGCAGUGAAAUGCGUAGAUAUGUGGAGGAAUACCGAUGGCGAAGGCAGCCCCCUGGGAUAGUACUGACGCUCAGACACGAAAGAGUGGGGAGCAAACA
RNAcentral lists this ribosomal RNA (422 nucleotides) under uncultured bacterium. RNAcentral's name for it is "partial 16S ribosomal RNA". It matches the Rfam family "Bacterial small subunit ribosomal RNA", at positions 360 to 774 of the family's 1533-position model. The record is from RNAcentral.